RNAcentral lists this ribosomal RNA (627 nucleotides) under uncultured Tomentella. Its description in RNAcentral is "eukaryotic LSU rRNA". The stretch from base 210 to 364 matches the Rfam family "5.8S ribosomal RNA". The record is from RNAcentral. Lineage: Eukaryota; Fungi; Basidiomycota; Agaricomycetes; Thelephorales; Thelephoraceae.
GACAUUACCGAAUCGUCAAACACGGGUUGUUGCUGGCCUCCCAAACGGGGCAUGUGCACGCUCUGUUUACGCAUCCACUCACACCUGUGCACCCUCUGUAGUCCUAUGGUUCGGAAGACCCUGUCUUCCUUCUGUAGCUCUACGUCUUUACACACACACUGUAGUGAUGUCUCAUGGAAUGUUUUUAUGCGUUUAACGCGAUACAAUACAACUUUCAGCAACGGAUCUCUUGGCUCUCGCAUCGAUGAAGAACGCAGCGAAAUGCGAUAAGUAAUGUGAAUUGCAGAAUUCAGUGAAUCAUCGAAUCUUUGAACGCACCUUGCGCCCCUUGGUUAUUCCUUGGAGCAUGCCUGUUUGAGUAUCAUGAACACCUCAACUCUCACGGUCUUCCGUGAUGAGCUUGGACUUUGGGGGUUUGCUGGCCCUGCGGCCGGCUCCUCUCAAAUGAAUCAGCUUGCCAGUGUUUGGUGGCAUCACGGGUGUGAUAACUAUCUACGCUCGCGGUCGUCUGCCAGGUAACCCUCAGCAAUGAAGGUUCAUUGGAGCUCAUAAACGUCUCUCCUCGGCGAGGACAACUUUUGAACGUUCGAUCUCAAAUCAGGUAGGAUUACCCGCUGAACUUAAGCA